CUUAGCAGCGAACGGGUGAGUAACACGUAGAUAAUCUAUCCUAUACUGGGGGAUAGCCCGAUGAAAGUUGGAUUAAUACCGCAUAUAGCUAUAUAGUUGCAUGAUUAUGUAGUGAAAGAUUUAUUGGUAUAGGAGGAGUCUGCGGCACAUUAGCUAGUAGGUGAGGUAAAGGCUUACCUAGGCGACGAUGUGUAGCCGGUCUGAGAGGAUGAACGGCCACAAUGGAACUGAGACACGGUCCAUACUCCUACGGGAGGCAGCAGUGGGGAAUAUUGCACAAUGGGGGAAACCCUGAUGCAGCAACGCCGCGUGAGUGAAGAAGGUUUUCGGAUUGUAAAGCUCUGUUAGCAGGGAAGAGGAAGGACGGUACCUGCAGAGGAAGCCACGGCUAACUACGUGCCAGCAGCCGCGGUAAUACGUAGGUGGCAAGCGUUGUUCGGAAUAACUGGGCGUAAAGGAUGCGUGGGCGGUUAAACAAGUUAUAUGUUAAAUAUAUAGGCUUAACCUGUAGAAAGCAUAUAAAACUGUUUAACUAGAGUGCAGGAGAGGUAAGUGGAAUUCCUAGUGUAGCGGUGAAAUGCGUAGAGAUUAGGAAGAACACCAGUGGCGAAGGCGACUUACUGGUCUGUAACUGACGCUGAGGCAUGAGAGCAUGGGGAGCAAACAGGAUUAGAUACCCUGGUAGUCCAUGCUGUAAACGAUGGGUACUAGGUGUGGGUUGUGAAUAACAAUUCGUGCCG
RNAcentral lists this ribosomal RNA (740 nucleotides) under uncultured bacterium. Its description in RNAcentral is "bacterial SSU rRNA". It matches the Rfam family "Bacterial small subunit ribosomal RNA", at positions 91 to 848 of the family's 1533-position model. The record is from RNAcentral.